UACAGAGGUCUCAAGCGUUGUUCGGAUUCAUUGGGCGUAAAGGGCGCGUAGGCGGUGAAGUAAGUCUGAUGUGAAAUCUAGGAGCUUAACUCCUAAACUGCACUGGAUACUGUUUUGCUUGAGGACUGGAGAGGAGAUUGGAAUUCACGGUGUAGCAGUGAAAUGCGUAGAUAUCGUGAGGAAGACCAGUGGCGAAGGCGGAUCUCUGGACAGUUCCUGACGCUGAGGCGCGAAGGCCAGGGGAGCAAAUGGG
This 253-nucleotide ribosomal RNA is filed under the name uncultured bacterium. RNAcentral's name for it is "partial 16S ribosomal RNA". It matches the Rfam family "Bacterial small subunit ribosomal RNA", at positions 524 to 776 of the family's 1533-position model. The record is from RNAcentral.